GCCAAAGUUCAUAUGAUAACAUGUAAUUUUUACAUGUUAUGGAGCGAUUGAGGUCCAUAUAAAGCAGGUGUGUGCUGCAGUAUUGUUAGUAGCGAGGUCAAGAGCAACUAGACAAGCUGAUCUACAUCUCCAUAUCUUCAUAUUCGUCGAUUGAAUCGGUUUCACUAUGCAAGUUUCCAUGAUCGUUCUAAUCGUUGCCUUUCUUCUGACCACCAUGAUACACCAAGGCGAACCACAGUCGAGAAUCCAAAACACUUGCAGGGAUAGAUUCAUGGGCUGUGGCAGUCGAACAGCUGCUAGAAAGUCCAACUGUUGUUCCACCGCCUGGCGUUUUUGCUUCCUCCAUUCGCGAUGGUGUCAUCGACGCCAGUGUAGCAGUUUAUACCGCAAUUGUAUGUGCGGUGCUGGAUAUCAACAUUAUUGCUAAAGAAAUGUUAAAUGUAUACCUUGAGAUGUUAUAAAAUUUAGUGGUGAAAGUCAAAGGAAAUAAAUGUCCAAGUUAAUUCUGAA
Molecule: long non-coding RNA, 510 nt
Organism: Actinia tenebrosa (Australian red waratah sea anemone)
Lineage: Eukaryota; Metazoa; Cnidaria; Anthozoa; Actiniaria; Actiniidae
Source: RefSeq, a predicted model, not a curated record